Molecule: ribosomal RNA, 537 nt
Filed under: uncultured bacterium
Lineage: Bacteria
Description: bacterial SSU rRNA
Rfam family: Bacterial small subunit ribosomal RNA
Source: RNAcentral
AGUUUCGAAUCAUUCACAAUGGGCGAAAGCCUGAUGGUGCGACGCCGCGUGAGGGAUGAAGGUCUUCGGAUUGUAAACCUCUGUCACUGGGGAAGAAACGCUUUGAGUUAAUAGUUCAAAGCCUGACUUAACCCGGAGAGGAAGUAGUGGCUAACUCUGUGCCAGCAGCCGCGGUAAUACAGAGACUGCAAGCGUUAUUCGGAUUCACUGGGCGUAAAGGGUGCGCAGGCGGCCGUGUGUGUGAGGUGUGAAAUCCCGGAGCUUAACUCCGGAACUGCGCCUCAAACUACACGGCUAGAGCAUUGGAGAGGGAAGUGGAAUUCACGGUGUAGCAGUGAAAUGCGUAGAUAUCGUGAGGAACACCAGUGGCGAAGGCGACUUCCUGGACAAUUGCUGACGCUCAGGCACGAAAGCGUGGGGAGCAAAAGGGAUUAGAUACCCCUGUAGUCCACGCCCUAAACGGUGCACACUAGGUUUUGGAGGAUUCGACCCCUUCAGGACCCAAGCUAACGCGUUAAGUGUGCCGCCUGAGGACUA